This is a long non-coding RNA of Carcharodon carcharias (great white shark), 160 nucleotides long. RefSeq lists it as uncharacterized. NCBI's taxonomy places the organism in Eukaryota, Metazoa, Chordata, Chondrichthyes, Lamniformes, Lamnidae. The record is from RefSeq and is a predicted model, not a curated record. The transcript is spliced from 3 exons.
CACCCCUGGAACUCCUGUAGCAGAAAAAAGGAAUUUCACCUCAAUGCAUCAACACACUUGUCUACCUGAAAUACAACGUGAGCCCUGACCAAGUAAAAAUCGUAUUGACAGUCGGAUUGUCCCACAAGCUUGUUUUAACCAAUACCCUGCACAGCAAAGG